This 203-nucleotide long non-coding RNA is filed under the name Gossypium raimondii (Peruvian cotton). RNAcentral describes it as "long non-coding RNA (GRAI_LNC004632)". Lineage: Eukaryota; Viridiplantae; Streptophyta; Magnoliopsida; Malvales; Malvaceae. The record is from RNAcentral.
CAUCGGGCAAUGAAUCAAAGUCGUGUACUCAUUCAUCAGACUAUCACCCUUACCUCGCUAUGUUUUCUCGGACCAUAUUCGGAGCAUUGUCUUCCACUUUAUUAAGAAAUUCAUUUUCCAAUGCAAGCUCUCUUUUUAGCAACUGAACGUGAAUCAUCACCUCUUUUAUUAUGAUGAAAAUGCAAUGCAAUCAUAACCAAAAC